CCCUUAGAUGUUCUGGGCCGCACGCGUGCUACACUGAGUGGAUCAGCGGGUCAGGUUACGCGAGAGCGUUUCCUAAUCUUCAAAUCCGCUCGUGAUGGGGAUUGACGGUUGCAAUUUUCCGUCAUGAACGAGGAAUACCUUGUAAGCGCGGGUCAUCAUCCCGCGCUGAAUACGUCCCUGCCCUUUGUACGCACCGCCCGUCGCUCCUACCGAUUGAGUGGUCCGGUGAGGCUUUGGGAUCUAAGCGAAAAGAGCGUUUCGCUCCUUUUGCUGGGAGAACUCAGUCGAACCUUAUCAUUUAGAGGAAGGAGAAGUCGUAACA
Molecule: ribosomal RNA, 322 nt
Filed under: uncultured eukaryote
Lineage: Eukaryota
Description: partial 18S ribosomal RNA
Rfam family: Eukaryotic small subunit ribosomal RNA
Source: RNAcentral